This 254-nucleotide ribosomal RNA is filed under the name uncultured bacterium. RNAcentral's name for it is "partial 16S ribosomal RNA". It matches the Rfam family "Bacterial small subunit ribosomal RNA", at positions 524 to 777 of the family's 1533-position model. The record is from RNAcentral.
UACGAAGGGAGCUAGCGUUGUUCGGAAUUACUGGGCGUAAAGGGCGCGUAGGCGGGUUUCCAAGUCGGGGGUGAAAUUCCAGGGCUCAACCCUGGGACGGCCUUCGAUACUGGGAGCCUGGAGAUCGGGAGAGGUGAGUGGAAUUCCGAGUGUAGAGGUGAAAUUCGUAGAUAUUCGGAGGAACACCAGAAGCGAAGGCGGCUCACUGGCCCGAGACUGACGCUGAGGCGCGAAAGCGUGGGGAGCAAACAGGG